Molecule: ribosomal RNA, 260 nt
Filed under: uncultured bacterium
Lineage: Bacteria
Description: partial 16S ribosomal RNA
Rfam family: Bacterial small subunit ribosomal RNA
Source: RNAcentral
UGAGUGGCGGACGGGUGAGUAACGCGUGGGCAACCUGCCCUGUACAGGGGGACAACACUUAGAAAUAGGUGCUAAUACCGCAUAACGGGGGAGCCGCAUGGCACCCCCCUGAAAACUCCGGUGGUACAGGAUGGGCCCGCGUCUGAUUAGCUGGUUGGCAGGGUAACGGCCUACCAAGGCGACGAUCAGUAGCCGGCCUGAGAGGGCGGACGGCCACACUGGGACUGAGACACGGCCCAGACUCCUACGGGAGGCAGCAG